GUCGGUGUAGUGUAGUGGUAACACUGUGGUCUCCAAAACCACCAUCCUAGGUUCGAGUCCUAGCACCUUCGCCA
RNAcentral lists this transfer RNA (74 nucleotides) under Bacillus cereus. Its description in RNAcentral is "tRNA-Trp". It matches the Rfam family "tRNA". From Rfam's summary of the family: Transfer RNA (tRNA) molecules are approximately 80 nucleotides in length. The record is from RNAcentral. Lineage: Bacteria; Bacillati; Bacillota; Bacilli; Caryophanales; Bacillaceae.